RNAcentral lists this ribosomal RNA (926 nucleotides) under Salmonella enterica subsp. enterica serovar Kentucky. RNAcentral's name for it is "bacterial LSU rRNA". It matches the Rfam family "Bacterial large subunit ribosomal RNA", at positions 646 to 1575 of the family's 2925-position model. Lineage: Bacteria; Pseudomonadati; Pseudomonadota; Gammaproteobacteria; Enterobacterales; Enterobacteriaceae. The record is from RNAcentral.
UUAACCGUAUAGGGGAGCCGGAGGGAAACCGAGUCUUAACUGGGCGUUAAGUUGCAGGGUAUAGACCCGAAACCCGGUGAUCUAGCCAUGGGCAGGUUGAAGGUUGGGUAACACUAACUGGAGGACCGAACCGACUAAUGUUGAAAAAUUAGCGGAUGACUUGUGGCUGGGGGUGAAAGGCCAAUCAAACCGGGAGAUAGCUGGUUCUCCCCGAAAGCUAUUUAGGUAGCGCCUCGUGAACUCAUCUUCGGGGGUAGAGCACUGUUUCGGCUAGGGGGUCAUCCCGACUUACCAACCCGAUGCAAACUGCGAAUACCGAAGAAUGUUAUCACGGGAGACACACGGCGGGUGCUAACGUCCGUCGUGAAGAGGGAAACAACCCAGACCGCCAGCUAAGGUCCCAAAGUCAUGGUUAAGUGGGAAACGAUGUGGGAAGGCCCAGACAGCCAGGAUGUUGGCUUAGAAGCAGCCAUCAUUUAAAGAAAGCGUAAUAGCUCACUGGUCGAGUCGGCCUGCGCGGAAGAUGUAACGGGGCUAAACCAUGCACCGAAGCUGCGGCAGCGACGCUGAUGCGUUGUUGGGUAGGGGAGCGUUCUGUAAGCCUGUGAAGGUGGCCUGUGAGGGUUGCUGGAGGUAUCAGAAGUGCGAAUGCUGACAUAAGUAACGAUAAAGCGGGUGAAAAGCCCGCUCGCCGGAAGACCAAGGGUUCCUGUCCAACGUUAAUCGGGGCAGGGUGAGUCGACCCCUAAGGCGAGGCCGAAAGGCGUAGUCGAUGGGAAACGGGUUAAUAUUCCCGUACUUGGUGUUACUGCGAAGGGGGGACGGAGAAGGCUAUGUUGGCCGGGCGACGGUUGUCCCGGUUUAAGCGUGUAGGCUGGUUUUCCAGGCAAAUCCGGAAAAUCAAGGCUGAGGCGUGAUGACGAGGC